Molecule: unclassified non-coding RNA, 222 nt
Filed under: Hevea brasiliensis (rubber tree)
Lineage: Eukaryota; Viridiplantae; Streptophyta; Magnoliopsida; Malpighiales; Euphorbiaceae
Source: RNAcentral
GAAAAGAAGAGAGUGUUUGGAACACCCGAAAAGAGCCCUUUAUCGGAUUUGAACCGAUGAAUUUUAGCCUUAUUUCUAAAGGGCGUUUAAAGAGCUAAGGUGAAAGACUGAAGUCAAGUUGCAAGCCUUCGACAACAACAAGAGGCCAGUCGCUGAACACCACGCCAAUCCCGAUUCAAGUACAAGUCUCCUUCGACGUGAACAGACGCUUUCUUAUCUUAC